UACGGAGGGUGCAAGCGUUAUCCGGAUUCACUGGGUUUAAAGGGUGCGUAGGCAGAUAGGUAAGUCCGUGGUGAAAUCCUGCAGCUUAACUGCAGAACUGCCAUGGAUACUAUUUAUCUGAAUGUCGUGGAGGUUAGCAGAAUAUGUCAUGUAGCGGUGAAAUGCUUAGAUAUGACAUAGAAUACCCAUUGCGAAGGCAGCUAACUACGCGAUAAUUGACGCUGAUGCACGAAAGCGUGGGGAUCAAACAGG
RNAcentral lists this ribosomal RNA (252 nucleotides) under uncultured bacterium. RNAcentral describes it as "partial 16S ribosomal RNA". It matches the Rfam family "Bacterial small subunit ribosomal RNA", at positions 524 to 776 of the family's 1533-position model. The record is from RNAcentral.